RNAcentral lists this ribosomal RNA (219 nucleotides) under uncultured bacterium. RNAcentral's name for it is "partial 16S ribosomal RNA". It matches the Rfam family "Bacterial small subunit ribosomal RNA", at positions 28 to 242 of the family's 1533-position model. The record is from RNAcentral.
GAUGAACGCUAGCGGCAGGCCUAAUACAUGCAAGUCGAGGGGCAACAGGUGUAGCAAUACAUGCUGGCGACCGGCGCACGGGUGCGUAACGCGUAUGCAAUCUACCUCUCACAGGGGCAUAGCCCGGAGAAAUCCGGAUUAAUACCCCAUAAUAAACCAAGGUAGCAUUACCUAGGUUUGUAAAGUACACAACGGUAAGAGAUGAGCAUGCGUAUGAUU